Molecule: ribosomal RNA, 735 nt
Filed under: Triticum aestivum (bread wheat)
Lineage: Eukaryota; Viridiplantae; Streptophyta; Magnoliopsida; Poales; Poaceae
Description: partial small subunit ribosomal RNA
Source: RNAcentral
AUGGCCACCGCAGCGUCGAGAUACGCUGCCACCGCGGAAUCCGUGGAUUUCUCCUCGGACCCCGAGCAGGCGAGGCGGCGAGUGAACGCCUUCGUCGCCGGCGUGACGGACGGGCGCAUCCGCGACGUCCUCCUGCCCGGCUCGGUCGGUGCGUCCACGCGAGUCAUCCUCGCCAACGCGCUCUACUUCAACGGGACGUGGUCUCAGCCGUUCGACCAGUCGGCAACCUUCACCGCGCUGUUCCACGUCCCAGACGGAGCCAUCGUGCGCGCGCCGUUCAUGACGACGGGCCGGUUCCCGUUCGAGCAGCAUGUCGCCGUCUACCGGGGCUUCAGGGCCCUCAAGCUGUCCUACAAGAACGACGACGACCACGUGGGGCCGCGAGCCGAGGCAGCAUUAUACAUGCUUCUCCUCCUCCCGGACGGCGCCGCUCUCGGCCUCGCCGAUCUCUACGACAAGUCGGUCGCGACGCCGGGGUGCCUCAAGAGCCACACGCCGGCGGCCCAGGUCCUGGUCGGGCGGUUCAUGGUCCCGAAGUUCAAGUUCACGUUCGAGUUCGAGGCGUCGUCGGACAUGCGGAAGCUCGGGGUCACCAGGGCUUUUGGAGGCGGCGACUUCUCGGGCAUGGUGAGCGGCGGGGAUGGGCUCUUCAUCACGGGCAUGUACCAUAAGGCCACCAUCAAGGUGGACGAGCAGGGCACCGUGGCCGCCGCAGCAACGGCCGUGGGGAUCUAG